Molecule: ribosomal RNA, 255 nt
Filed under: uncultured bacterium
Lineage: Bacteria
Description: partial 16S ribosomal RNA
Rfam family: Bacterial small subunit ribosomal RNA
Source: RNAcentral
UACGUAGGGGGCAAGCGUUGUUCGGAUUUACUGGGCGUAAAGGGCGCGUAGGCGGUCGUGACAAGUCACUUGUGAAAUCUCCGGGCUUAACUCGGAACGGUCAAGUGAUACUGUCGGACUAGAGUACAGAAGGGGCAACUGGAAUUCUCGGUGUAGCGGUGAAAUGCGUAGAUAUCGAGAGGAACACCUGCGGCGAAGGCGGGUUGCUGGGCUGAUACUGACGCUGAGGCGCGAAAGCCAGGGGAGCGAACGGGG